GAACGUUUCACCCUGCAGGACAACGAGCCAGAGCCUUGCAUACCAGGGGCAGGCAUUAGACCACACCCGCUUUGACUGUUAGACUCAUCUGCAGUGUUUGUGCCACUAGUGAGAUGCGCCUAAUGGGGGACUUCAUCCCCCACCUCACCCUGGUGUAAGUAGUUUACUGGAUGGGAAUUUGGGCUCCUAGAAGUCUUCAUCUUACUAUUUAUGUACCACCUCUGAAUUGAACAGGUGUUAUAAAAGGGUAAACUGAGGCUAAAAGCUACCUCAAGAAGAUGCCUGGAGCAGGGUUCAAGAUCAAUCUUGCUUUUAGUCUCAGCCAUAAACCAUCUGAGCUUUGGGUAAGUCACUUGACCACCAGGCCGGUUUCCUCAUUAUGACAGAAUGGAAUUCUGAAUUCCCUUUCUGUUGUAAUAGUCUGAUUGCACAAUUUUCCCUUAGAGAAGUUUCAUACCUGUUAGAUCUCCUGCUGCCAGGAGCUAACCUCCUGGGAGACAGGUCUUAUCGUCAUCCAGGCAUAUAGGAGGGUGUUGGGAAAACACUUGUAGUGGAUGCUGGAUUGUGCCAUUCAGAGCCAGCUCCCUUUGCUAUUGAAGAACUUAUUUCCCUACAUGUCAAGACUUCUGCUGGCUGAUGGCCCCCAGCUGUGAGCUCUUUCAGGCAUCACCUUUGGCUGCAAAAGGCUCCCUCUCCCGAAGUUACUACCUGCAUCCCUGGAGGCAGACUUCAUCUCAUGUCUUCAUCCAAAGUUUGAACAAAUUGGCUAAGAAGGUGCUAGACAUGUAAAGGGACUAUUUUUUUUCUUAAUUCAAAUGUAGGAGGAGUAUGGAUCUCCAGGAACCAGAAGAGCUGCAUACAUAUAAACAAAGCUCCAAAUUUGGAAGCAGCAGUGAAACUCCACAGCAGUGAAAAGAAAGAAAAAAAGACUAAGCCAGGAAACCUCUUGAAGGCCCAGAGAAGUAGGCACGUAUAUAAGAUGCCCAGACUGGAGCUGCCACAUAGGAGACACUUGGUGAGCUCUCAAGGGAGAUUGGAUGUCUAUGGAGAAUCCACGUACCUAUAUCAUAUUAGUUGGAGCAAAACACAGACUCUGGGAUGA
RNAcentral lists this long non-coding RNA (1102 nucleotides) under Pan paniscus (pygmy chimpanzee). Its description in RNAcentral is "lncRNA (ENSPPAG00000044731.1)". Lineage: Eukaryota; Metazoa; Chordata; Mammalia; Primates; Hominidae. The record is from RNAcentral.